AGAGCGAACGCUGGCGGCAGGCCUAACACAUGCAAGUCGAACGGAUCCUUCGGGAUUAGUGGCAGACGGGUGAGUAACACGUGGGAACGUGCCUUUUGGUUCGGAACAACUCAGGGAAACUUGAGCUAAUACCGGAUGUGCCCUUCGGGGGAAAGAUUUAUCGCCAUUAGAGCGGCCCGCGUCUGAUUAGCUAGUUGGUGAGGUAAAGGCUCACCAAGGCUUCGAUCAGUAGCUGGUCUGAGAGGAUGAUCAGCCACACUGGGACUGAGACACGGCCCAGACUCCUACGGGAGGCAGCAGUGGGGAAUAUGGACAAUGGGCGCAAGCCUGAUCCAGCCAUGCCGCGUGAGUGAUGAAGGCCUUAGGGUUGUAAAGCUCUUUCAGUGGGGACGAUAAUGACGGUACCCACAGAAGAAGCCCGGCUAACUUCGUGCCAGCAGCCGC
This 444-nucleotide ribosomal RNA is filed under the name uncultured bacterium. RNAcentral's name for it is "SSU rRNA". It matches the Rfam family "Bacterial small subunit ribosomal RNA", at positions 26 to 518 of the family's 1533-position model. The record is from RNAcentral.